AGAGUUUGAUCAUGGCUCAGGAUGAACGCUAGCUACAGGCUUAACACAUGCAAGUCGAGGGGAAACGACAUCGAAAGCUUGCUUUUGAUGGGCGUCGACCGGCGCACGGGUGAGUAACGCGUAUCCAACCUGCCCAUCACUUGGGGAUAACCUUGCGAAAGUAAGACUAAUACCCAAUGACGUCUCUAGAAGACAUCUGAAAGAGAUUAAAGAUUUAUCGGUGAUGGAUGGGGAUGCGUCUGAUUAGCUUGUUGGCGGGGUAACGGCCCACCAAGGCGACGAUCAGUAGGGGUUCUGAGAGGAAGGUCCCCANACUUGGAACUGAGACACGGUCCAAACUCCUACGAGAGGGCA
Molecule: ribosomal RNA, 354 nt
Filed under: uncultured bacterium
Lineage: Bacteria
Description: bacterial SSU rRNA
Rfam family: Bacterial small subunit ribosomal RNA
Source: RNAcentral